Molecule: long non-coding RNA, 209 nt
Filed under: Elaeis guineensis (African oil palm)
Lineage: Eukaryota; Viridiplantae; Streptophyta; Magnoliopsida; Arecales; Arecaceae
Description: long non-coding RNA (EGUI_LNC036027)
Source: RNAcentral
UGCUCACGCACACCAUUAAUGCCAUCAUAUCUCAUGGAUGAGAGUUUAAACAAUAGGAUGCUUGUAAAUGCCUUGUUAAAGAUAAGAAUCCACUUGUUAGCUGCAUUUGAGAAUUCUUUUGCAGUCCUGAUAGGAUUUUCCCAACCAUUUGUUGGGAUUUUGACGUAUCGAAUUUGAUCCACUGAAGAAAACUCAAAAUGGAUAAGCCC